This 904-nucleotide ribosomal RNA is filed under the name uncultured Actinomycetales bacterium. Its description in RNAcentral is "bacterial SSU rRNA". It matches the Rfam family "Bacterial small subunit ribosomal RNA", at positions 55 to 973 of the family's 1533-position model. Lineage: Bacteria; Bacillati; Actinomycetota; Actinomycetes; Actinomycetales. The record is from RNAcentral.
AUGCAAGUCGAGCGAUGAAACACUCUUCGGGUGUGAAUUAGCGGCGAACGGGUGAGGAACACGUGAAGAAUCUGCCUUCAACUCUGGGAUAACUCCGGGAAACCGGGGCUAAUACCGGAUAUGAGCCUUGAUCGCAUGAUCGGGGCUGGAAAGUUUUUCGGUUGAAGAUGACUUCGCGGCCUAUCAGCUUGUUGGUGAGGUAAUGGCUCACCAAGGCGACGACGGGUAGCCGGCCUGAGAGGGCGACCGGCCACACUGGGACUGAGACACGGCCCAGACUCCUACGGGAGGCAGCAGUGGGGAAUAUUGGGCAAUGGAGGAAACUCUGACCCAGCGACGCCGCGUGAGGGAUGAAGGCCUUCGGGUUGUAAACCUCUUUCAGUAGGGAAGAAGCGAAAGUGACGGUACCUACAGAAGAAGCACCGGCUAACUAUGUGCCAGCAGCCGCGGUAAUACAUAGGGUGCAAGCGUUGUCCGGAAUUAUUGGGCGUAAAGAGCUCGUAGGUGGUUCGAUACGUCGGAUGUGAAAAUCAGGGGCUCAACCCCUGACCUGCAUCCGAUACGGUCGAGCUAGAGUUUGGUAGGGGAGACUGGAAUUCCUGGUGUAGCGGUGGAAUGCGCAGAUAUCAGGAGGAACACCGAUGGCGAAGGCAGGUCUCUGGGCCAAUACUGACACUGAGGAGCGAAAGCGUGGGGAGCGAACAGGAUUAGAUACCCUGGUAGUCCACGCCGUAAACGGUGGGCGCUAGUUGUGCGAACCUUCCACGGUUUGUGCGACGCAGCUAACGCAUUAAGCGCCCCGCCUGGGGAGUACGAUCGUAAGAUUAAAACUCAAAGGAAUUGACGGGGCCCCGCACAAGCAGCGGAGCAUGCGGCUUAAUUCGACGCAACGCGAAGAACCUUA